Molecule: long non-coding RNA, 200 nt
Filed under: Lathyrus oleraceus (garden pea)
Lineage: Eukaryota; Viridiplantae; Streptophyta; Magnoliopsida; Fabales; Fabaceae
Description: Pisum sativum (pea) long non-coding RNA (PSAT_LNC007591)
Source: RNAcentral
GUAUAUAACUUUUUCCUAAUGGAAUAGUCUAACCCUCCAACGGUCAUUUCGACCAAUUCAUGUUCAGGCACUACUGUAAAUCAUCUAGAUUUCAACAAACGGAACCUAUUCAGAUAAUCAUUUAUAGGUUCAGUGAAUUUUCUUUUAAUACUGGCUAAUUCCUUAAGACUUAUCUUAGUUUGCCCCAUGUAGAAUUGUUC